Molecule: long non-coding RNA, 936 nt
Filed under: Monodelphis domestica (gray short-tailed opossum)
Lineage: Eukaryota; Metazoa; Chordata; Mammalia; Didelphimorphia; Didelphidae
Description: lncRNA (ENSMODG00000049604.1)
Source: RNAcentral
CUCAUCUCAGAACAAUGGCUAAGGAAUUCUCAAAGGCCAGAGAGAGUCCCAUGGAGUUUGCUAAAGAAUUCGGGAUCAUUCCCUCUACUGACCAACCUAGCUUCUUAGACCUUUAUCAGCUAGCCCAAAUAUUGGUGGGCCCAGCAGAUGUGCAUCAGUGGUUUAAGACAGCCCAAUGGAAAAAUCCUUUGGAGCACAUAAAUCACUUAAAGCUUAGAAAGGAUGAGCCUGAAGUCCACCUACAAGAAGCCAGAAAACUUGGGGAGGCCUUAUUAGAGGCUAUUCCCAAGGCUUUUCCAAAGCCUGUCAAUAGAGGAAACAUUCAGGUUUGCACUCAAAAGGUGGGAAAAUGCAUUUUUGGUCCUUAUAAUGAGUUUCUAACUACAUUUGAAGCCAACUUUGGCUUUUCUCCAGAUAACCCUGAUGCAUCCUUGGUUUCUAGAUGUUUUCCUUUCAGGUACUCAACCAAAAGGCAAAGGGUAAGAAGUUGUUAUUUUUGUAACAAGCCUGGACACCUGAAGAGAGAUUGUAGGGAGCUGCUAAGUAAGUUAAAACAGCACCAAGGAAGGCAUGAUCAUGCUUCCUGAGAGGUUUUCCAGGACUCUGCAUCAAGAAGGCUCAAACUUAUAGGAGCAGAGCAGCCAGAGUAGCAAAAGAAGGAUUUACCAACAAGUGCUGAGCAGAUGUAACCUUCCUUGUUCAAUGAUCUGACUUCAUUUUCCUGUGUGAUUUAUCACGUUUGCAAACUGGCAUAAUCUCAAGCAUUUUGUUGUUCAUUUAGAUUUUUCUUAUUUGUAUAAAUUUCAGAUAAGGAGAAGAUCAUUUAAUUGAGUUCUGAGUAAUUAUCUUGCUAUAAAGAGUGUAGAUGGAGGUGGUUAUUUGAAUAUUCAGCUAGGAAGACUCAUUUCCCAUCUCGCAAUGAGAGGGAACUUGGAA